AACCGGAUUAGAUACCCUGGUAGUCCACGCCCUAAACGAUGUCUACUAGUUGUCGGGUCUUAAUUGACUUGGUAACGCAGCUAACGCGUGAAGUAGACCGCCUGGGGAGUACGGUCGCAAGAUUAAAACUCAAAGGAAUUGACGGGGACCCGCACAAGCGGUGGAUGAUGUGGAUUAAUUCGAUGCAACGCGAAAAACCUUACCUACCCUUGACAUGUACGGAAGCCUGAAGAGAUUUAGGCGUGCUCGAAAGAGAGCCGUAACACAGGUGCUGCAUGGCUGUCGUCAGCUCGUGUCGUGAGAUGUUGGGUUAAGUCCCGCAACGAGCGCAACCCUUGUCAUUAGUUGCUACAUUCAGUUGAGCACUCUAAUGAGACUGCCGGUGACAAACCGGAGGAAGGUGGGGAUGACGUCAAGUCCUCAUGGCCCUUAUGGGUAGGGCUUCACACGUCAUACAAUGGUACAUACAGAGGGCCGCCAACCCGCGAGGGGGAGCUAAUCCCAGAAAGUGUAUCGUAGUCCGGAUCGCAGUCUGCAACUCGACUGCGUGAAGUUGGAAUCGCUAGUAAUCGCGGAUCAGCAUGUCGCGGUGAAUACGUUCCCGGGUCUUGUACACACCGCCCGUCACACCGUGGGAGCGGGUUUUACCAGAAGUAGGUAGCUUAACCGUAAGGGGGGCGCUUACCACGGUAGGAUUCGUGACUGGGGUGAAGUCGUAACAAGGUAACCGUA
RNAcentral lists this ribosomal RNA (732 nucleotides) under uncultured endophytic bacterium. RNAcentral's name for it is "bacterial SSU rRNA". It matches the Rfam family "Bacterial small subunit ribosomal RNA", at positions 771 to 1504 of the family's 1533-position model. The record is from RNAcentral.